UGUGGGUGUCCCUUUAAAUUGUCAUGAAAGCAUCAGUUGUCCAAUCAGAUACAUGCAAGACUAUAUAAAAGGGGACUUUUAAUGCACCAUGUUGUGUGAUCACUGCUUGUGUGUCAUUGCCCGAGGCCUGCCCCUUCCUGGUUUAGACUCUUCCUGUCUCACAGUUUCCAACGUGUAAUCAUUCCAUGUGGCUCGGCGACUGCUUUUAAACAUGAACCCGCCGUAAUCCCGUGCCUUCUUGCCGGUUUGAUGUCCAUUUGCCUGUGCGGCUGGACUUGUGGUCGAAACGACAAUAUUAAGGUGGAAUAGUUUUAAGAGGAGUCAUUCAGUGCGGCCUGCGGGGCAACGUACUUUGAUGCUGCUGCUUUGUUUUUUACUCUGCUUUAACUUUGUAUGCUUUGUUUUUUACUCUGCUUUAACUUUGUAUGCUUUGUUUUUACUCUGCUUUAACUUUGUAUGCUUUGUUU
Long non-coding RNA from Silurus meridionalis, 467 nucleotides. RefSeq lists it as uncharacterized. The transcript has 3 exons. NCBI's taxonomy places the organism in Eukaryota, Metazoa, Chordata, Actinopteri, Siluriformes, Siluridae. The record is from RefSeq and is a predicted model, not a curated record.